GAUGAACGCUGGCGGCGUGCCUAAUACAUGCAAGUCGAGCGAACGGAUGAGAAGCUUGCUUCUCUGAUGUUAGCGGCGGACGGGUGAGUAACACGUGGAUAACCUACCUAUAAGACUGGGAUAACUUCGGGAAACCGGAGCUAAUACCGGAUGAUAUAUUGAACCGCAUGGUUCAAUAGUGAAAGACGGUCUUGCUGUCACUUAUAGAUGGAUCCGCGCUGCAUUAGCUAGUUGGUAAGGUAACGGCUUACCAAGGCAACGAUGCGUAGCCGACCUGAGAGGGUGAUCGGCCACACUGGAACUGAGACACGGUCCAGACUCCUACGGGAGGCAGCAGUAGGGAAUCUUCCGCAAUGGGCGAAAGCCUGACGGAGCAACGCCGCGUGAGUGAUGAAGGUCUUCGGAUCGUAAAACUCUGUUAUUAGGGAAGAACAUAUGUGUAAGUAACUAUGCACAUCUUGACGGUACCUAAUCAGAAAGCCACGGCUAACUACGUG
This 497-nucleotide ribosomal RNA is filed under the name uncultured bacterium. Its description in RNAcentral is "partial 16S ribosomal RNA". It matches the Rfam family "Bacterial small subunit ribosomal RNA", at positions 28 to 507 of the family's 1533-position model. The record is from RNAcentral.